Molecule: ribosomal RNA, 599 nt
Filed under: Falsiruegeria mediterranea M17
Lineage: Bacteria; Pseudomonadati; Pseudomonadota; Alphaproteobacteria; Rhodobacterales; Roseobacteraceae
Description: bacterial SSU rRNA
Rfam family: Bacterial small subunit ribosomal RNA
Source: RNAcentral
AGCGGCGGACGGGUUAGUAACGCGUGGGAAUAUACCCAAAGGUAGGGAAUAGCCUCUGGAAACGGAGAGUAAUACCCUAUGUGCCCUUCGGGGGAAAGAUUUAUCGCCUUUGGAUUAGCCCGCGUUAGAUUAGAUAGUUGGUGGGGUAAUGGCCUACCAAGUCUACGAUCUAUAGCUGGUUUUAGAGGAUGAUCAGCAACACUGGGACUGAGACACGGCCCAGACUCCUACGGGAGGCAGCAGUGGGGAAUCUUGGACAAUGGGCGCAAGCCUGAUCCAGCCAUGCCGCGUGAGUGAUGAAGGCCUUAGGGUCGUAAAGCUCUUUCGCCAGGGAUGAUAAUGACAGUACCUGGUAAAGAAACCCCGGCUAACUCCGUGCCAGCAGCCGCGGUAAUACGGAGGGGGUUAGCGUUGUUCGGAAUUACUGGGCGUAAAGCGCGCGUAGGCGGAUCAGAAAGUUGGGGGUGAAAUCCCAGGGCUCAACCCUGGAACUGCCUCCAAAACUCCUGGUCUUGAGUUCGAGAGAGGUGAGUGGAAUUCCGAGUGUAGAGGUGAAAUUCGUAGAUAUUCGGAGGAACACCAGUGGCGAAGGCGGCUCA